GAUGAACGCUGGCGGCGUGCCUAAUACAUGCAAGUAGAACGCUGAAGCUUGGUGCUUGCACCGAGCGGAUGAGUUGCGAACGGGUGAGUAACGCGUAGGUAACCUGCCUCUUAGCGGGGGAUAACUAUUGGAAACGAUAGCUAAUACCGCAUAAAAGUCGACAUUGCAUGAUGUUGACUUGAAAGGUGCAAUUGCAUCACUAAGAGAUGGACCUGCGUUGUAUUAGCUAGUUGGUGAGGUAACGGCUCACCAAGGCAACGAUACAUAGCCGACCUGAGAGGGUGAUCGGCCACACUGGGACUGAGACACGGCCCAGACUCCUACGGGAGGCAGCAGUAGGGAAUCUUCGGCAAUGGGGGCAACCCUGACCGAGCAACGCCGCGUGAGUGAAGAAGGUUUUCGGAUCGUAAAGCUCUGUUGUAAGAGAAGAACGAGUGUGAGAGUGGAAAGUUCACACUGUGACGGUAACUACCA
RNAcentral lists this ribosomal RNA (474 nucleotides) under Streptococcus parasanguinis. RNAcentral describes it as "bacterial SSU rRNA". It matches the Rfam family "Bacterial small subunit ribosomal RNA", at positions 28 to 485 of the family's 1533-position model. The record is from RNAcentral. Lineage: Bacteria; Bacillati; Bacillota; Bacilli; Lactobacillales; Streptococcaceae.